GGGUUGUGAGGUUAAGCGACUAAGCGUACACGGUGGAUGCCCUGGCAGUCAGAGGCGAUGAAGGACGUGCUAAUCUGCGAUAAGCGUCGGUAAGGUGAUAUGAACCGUUAUAACCGGCGAUUUCCGAAUGGGGAAACCCAGUGUGUUUCGACACACUAUCAUUAACUGAAUCCAUAGGUUAAUGAGGCGAACCGGGGGAACUGAAACAUCUAAGUACCCCGAGGAAAAGAAAUCAACCGAGAUUCCCCCAGUAGCGGCGAGCGAACGGGGAGCAGCCCAGAGCCUGAAUCAGUGUGUGUGUUAGUGGAAGCGUCUGGAAAGGCGCGCGAUACAGGGUGACAGCCCCGUACACAAAAAUGCACAUGCUGUGAGCUCGAUGAGUAGGGCGGGACACGUGGUAUCCUGUCUGAAUAUGGGGGGACCAUCCUCCAAGGCUAAAUACUCCUGACUGACCGAUAGUGAACCAGUACCGUGAGGGAAAGGCGAAAAGAACCCCGGCGAGGGGAGUGAAAAAGAACCUGAAACCGUGUACGUACAAGCAGUGGGAGCCUCUUUUAUGGGGUGACUGCGUACCUUUUGUAUAAUGGGUCAGCGACUUAUAUUCUGUAGCAAGGUUAACCGAAUAGGGGAGCCGAAGGGAAACCGAGUCUUAACUGGGCGUUAAGUUGCAGGGUAUAGACCCGAAACCCGGUGAUCUAGCCAUGGGCAGGUUGAAGGUUGGGUAACACUAACUGGAGGACCGAACCGACUAAUGUUGAAAAAUUAGCGGAUGACUUGUGGCUGGGGGUGAAAGGCCAAUCAAACCGGGAGAUAGCUGGUUCUCCCCGAAAGCUAUUUAGGUAGCGCCUCGUGAAUUCAUCUCCGGGGGUAGAGCACUGUUUCGGCAAGGGGGUCAUCCCGACUUACCAACCCGAUGCAAACUGCGAAUACCGGAGAAUGUUAUCACGGGAGACACACGGCGGGUGCUAACGUCCGUCGUGAAGAGGGAAACAACCCAGACCGCCAGCUAAGGUCCCAAAGUCAUGGUUAAGUGGGAAACGAUGUGGGAAGGCCCAGACAGCCAGGAUGUUGGCUUAGAAGCAGCCAUCAUUUAAAGAAAGCGUAAUAGCUCACUGGUCGAGUCGGCCUGCGCGGAAGAUGUAACGGGGCUAAACCAUGCACCGAAGCUGCGGCAGCGACACUAUGUGUUGUUGGGUAGGGGAGCGUUCUGUAAGCCUGUGAAGGUGUGCUGUGAGGCAUGCUGGAGGUAUCAGAAGUGCGAAUGCUGACAUAAGUAACGAUAAAGCGGGUGAAAAGCCCGCUCGCCGGAAGACCAAGGGUUCCUGUCCAACGUUAAUCGGGGCAGGGUGAGUCGACCCCUAAGGCGAGGCCGAAAGGCGUAGUCGAUGGGAAACAGGUUAAUAUUCCUGUACUUGGUGUUACUGCGAAGGGGGGACGGAGAAGGCUAUGUUGGCCGGGCGACGGUUGUCCCGGUUUAAGCGUGUAGGCUGGUUUUCCAGGCAAAUCCGGAAAAUCAAGGCUGAGGCGUGAUGACGAGGCACUACGGUGCUGAAGCAACAAAUGCCCUGCUUCCAGGAAAAGCCUCUAAGCAUCAGGUAACAUCAAAUCGUACCCCAAACCGACACAGGUGGUCAGGUAGAGAAUACCAAGGCGCUUGAGAGAACUCGGGUGAAGGAACUAGGCAAAAUGGUGCCGUAACUUCGGGAGAAGGCACGCUGAUAUGUAGGUGAAGUCCCUCGCGGAUGGAGCUGAAAUCAGUCGAAGAUACCAGCUGGCUGCAACUGUUUAUUAAAAACACAGCACUGUGCAAACACGAAAGUGGACGUAUACGGUGUGACGCCUGCCCGGUGCCGGAAGGUUAAUUGAUGGGGUCAGCGCAAGCGAAGCUCUUGAUCGAAGCCCCGGUAAACGGCGGCCGUAACUAUAACGGUCCUAAGGUAGCGAAAUUCCUUGUCGGGUAAGUUCCGACCUGCACGAAUGGCGUAAUGAUGGCCAGGCUGUCUCCACCCGAGACUCAGUGAAAUUGAACUCGCUGUGAAGAUGCAGUGUACCCGCGGCAAGACGGAAAGACCCCGUGAACCUUUACUAUAGCUUGACACUGAACAUUGAGCCUUGAUGUGUAGGAUAGGUGGGAGGCUUUGAAGUGUGGACGCCAGUCUGCAUGGAGCCGACCUUGAAAUACCACCCUUUAAUGUUUGAUGUUCUAACGUUGACCCGUGAUCCGGGUUGCGGACAGUGUCUGGUGGGUAGUUUGACUGGGGCGGUCUCCUCCUAAAGAGUAACGGAGGAGCACGAAGGUUGGCUAAUCCUGGUCGGACAUCAGGAGGUUAGUGCAAUGGCAUAAGCCAGCUUGACUGCGAGCGUGACGGCGCGAGCAGGUGCGAAAGCAGGUCAUAGUGAUCCGGUGGUUCUGAAUGGAAGGGCCAUCGCUCAACGGAUAAAAGGUACUCCGGGGAUAACAGGCUGAUACCGCCCAAGAGUUCAUAUCGACGGCGGUGUUUGGCACCUCGAUGUCGGCUCAUCACAUCCUGGGGCUGAAGUAGGUCCCAAGGGUAUGGCUGUUCGCCAUUUAAAGUGGUACGCGAGCUGGGUUUAGAACGUCGUGAGACAGUUCGGUCCCUAUCUGCCGUGGGCGCUGGAGAACUGAGGGGGGCUGCUCCUAGUACGAGAGGACCGGAGUGGACGCAUCACUGGUGUUCGGGUUGUCAUGCCAAUGGCACUGCCCGGUAGCUAAAUGCGGAAGAGAUAAGUGCUGAAAGCAUCUAAGCACGAAACUUGCCCCGAGAUGAGUUCUCCCUGACCCUUUAAGGGUCCUGAAGGAACGUUGAAGACGACGACGUUGAUAGGCCGGGUGUGUAAGCGCAGCGAUGCGUUGAGCUAACCGGUACUAAUGAACCGUGAGGCUUAACCUUACAACGCCGAAGCUGUU
RNAcentral lists this ribosomal RNA (2929 nucleotides) under Escherichia coli. RNAcentral's name for it is "23S ribosomal RNA". It matches the Rfam family "Bacterial large subunit ribosomal RNA". The record is from RNAcentral. Lineage: Bacteria; Pseudomonadati; Pseudomonadota; Gammaproteobacteria; Enterobacterales; Enterobacteriaceae.